This is a long non-coding RNA of Pantherophis guttatus, 392 nucleotides long. RefSeq lists it as uncharacterized. The record is from RefSeq and is a predicted model, not a curated record. NCBI's taxonomy places the organism in Eukaryota, Metazoa, Chordata, Lepidosauria, Squamata, Colubridae.
GAAAGAUGCCAUGAAAAUCUAUACAGUGGGAAAGAAGCAGACAGGCCUAUUACUUAUGUUCCUCUAGCAAGGCAGCAGAACAGACAUAGUAGCAUGGAAGAGCAGCAUUCAUUUUGAAUUUGGUUUUCUAAUCUAAUUGCUGAAGAAAGAUGGGUUGGUUUAUUAAAAUGAUUUCUGGAGAAGGCUCUAAUGCUGGAAAAGGUGGAAGCAAAGAGAAGAGGGUGACCAGAGCAAGAUGGAUGGACUCAAUUGCAAUGCACUGUUGGAAGAACUGAAAGAUCAAGUUAAGGACAAAUUGUGAUGGAGAAAGUGUUUCUAUCUGGUGAAUAAGGAUUGAUAACAACUUGAAGGCACAUAAUCAAUUAUUAAAAUUAUUAAAAUAAAAAUUAAAA